Bos taurus (domestic cattle) is the source of this 1365-nucleotide long non-coding RNA. The record is from Ensembl. NCBI's taxonomy places the organism in Eukaryota, Metazoa, Chordata, Mammalia, Artiodactyla, Bovidae.
GCGCUCCCUCGGCCCCAGCGCCCGGACCCGGGGGGCGGCCCGCGCGCCCCGCGCCCACGGGGGCCCCGCCUCCGGGCGGGCCGGCUGCUGGGGGGGCGCACCCCGACUUCCCCGGGGUCACAUGGGCUGCGGGGGGCGGGAGCGCCGGGAAAGGGGGAGGCGCGGGGAGCUCGCUGCCUGCCUGCCUGCUCGCUCGAGCCGGGGACGAGACGCCCCCCACCCCUCCAGCUCGGCCUCUCCAUCCAAGUUCCCGGUCCCCGGCCGCCCGGAUCCGGGGAUGGCAACCGCCGCCCGCCCGCCUCUGCGCCCUUUUUUCCAGCCGCCGCGCAGAAAUUUAGGUCAAGGACGUCGGGAUCAAACCCAAACCCUGGCGCUCCUUGGGCGCUCCCGGAGACCCCCAGAACGGGGGGCGGGGGGCUUUCAGGAUGGUGCGGACACCCUCCGCACAAACCCCAGCCACAAGUUUUAUUUUCCUUUCGCGCUGGAAGUUCUGUCUGGCUCUCGAUCCACACCGGCACGUCUUGCGCGGCUCCCCGCCCUUCCCCGGCAGAGGUACGAAUCCGUGCCCGGGGAAGGUUAUUUUGGAACUUUGAGGAAACGGACGCGAUUCCAGUGGAACUUUUGUAUCCACGUCCAUAAGUCAAUCAGGCUGCAGUUUUGCCUUCUCAUGUUGCCUUUCUCUGGUUAUACUGGCCUCAAAAAAUGAACUGGUAAGUUUCCUAUAAACAGCAUACAAUUGGACCUUGUUCCUUUAUUUAUUGGGUUGACUGGUCGCUGAGCUGAUUAAGAAGAAAGCUGACUCCUACCUUCCAAUCUUGUGUCCAUUUCAUCUGCUUCCAAACAUAAAGCCGCCCGCUGCUUUUGCAAGAUCUUGGCUGGUUUAAAAAGGCAGAUUCGGGAUUUGUGUGCAGGAUUUCAGGAAUGUGGGGUCUUCUGGUUUGUUUUGUGUGUGGAUGGCACAGCAGAAGGGAAACAAAGCAUUCUGCUGCCUCGCAUGGAGGUUCUUCUAGUAGCCAGGCGACCUUGAGCGGAAAAGCCACCCUCAGUCUCCAGUACCCCAUCUGUAAACUGUGGGUCACUAUGGUUUUAAAGUAUCUUGGUCCUCCUGCAAGAGGUGGAGCCUGAUCUUCCCACCCCCACCCCGGGUCCCCCAGCGUGGGCUGUACUUAGUCACUGGGUUCUGAUGAAUAGAAUGUGGAGGAAAUGAUGGUGGAUGAACUCCAAGGCUGGAUCAGUAAAGGCACCUGGCUCCCGCCUGGCUCCAUCUCUCAGGUCACUCUAGGGAAAGCCAGCUUUCAUGCCGUCAAGAUGCUCAAAGAGCCUGAUAGACAGCCCCACGUGGAGAAGACUUGCAGUUUCCUGUCG